Molecule: transfer RNA, 62 nt
Filed under: Taenia asiatica
Lineage: Eukaryota; Metazoa; Platyhelminthes; Cestoda; Cyclophyllidea; Taeniidae
Rfam family: tRNA
About the family: Transfer RNA (tRNA) molecules are approximately 80 nucleotides in length. Their secondary structure includes four short double-helical elements and three loops (D, anti-codon, and T loops). Further hydrogen bonds mediate the characteristic L-shaped molecular structure. tRNAs have two regions of fundamental functional importance: the anti-codon, which is responsible for specific mRNA codon recognition, and the 3' end, to which the tRNAs corresponding amino acid is attached (by aminoacyl-tRNA synthetases). tRNAs cope with the degeneracy of the genetic code in two manners: having more than one tRNA (with a specific anti-codon) for a particular amino acid; and 'wobble' base-pairing, i.e. permitting non-standard base-pairing at the 3rd anti-codon position.
Source: Rfam by way of RNAcentral
GGCUCAGUGGUCUAGGGGUAUGAUUCGCGCUUCGGGUGCGCGAGGUCCCGGGUUCGAAUCCC